RNAcentral lists this transfer RNA (67 nucleotides) under Pagurus longicarpus (long-clawed hermit crab). RNAcentral's name for it is "tRNA-Ser". Lineage: Eukaryota; Metazoa; Arthropoda; Malacostraca; Decapoda; Paguridae. The record is from RNAcentral.
AAGCAAGAGAUCUUUGCCAAAGAGAAAGCUUCUAACUUUUAUCUUGAGUGGUUAAAUUCCAUUCAUU